CGGACGGGUGAGUAACACGUGGGAACGUGCCCUUUGGUUCGGAACAACUCAGGGAAACUUGAGCUAAUACCGGAUGUGCCCUUCGGGGGAAAGAUUUAUCGCCAUUGGAGCGGCCCGCGUCUGAUUAGCUAGUUGGUGAGGUAAAGGCUCACCAAGGCGACGAUCAGUAGCUGGUCUGAGAGGAUGAUCAGCCACAUUGGGACUGAGACACGGCCCAAACUCCUACGGGAGGCAGCAGUGGGGAAUCUUGCGCAAUGGGCGAAAGCCUGACGCAGCCAUGCCGCGUGAAUGAUGAAGGUCUUAGGAUUGUAAAAUUCUUUCACCGGGGACGAUAAUGACGGUACCCGGAGAAGAAGCCCCGGCUAACUUCGUGCCAGCAGCCGCGGUAAUACGAAGGGGGCUAGCGUUGCUCGGAAUUACUGGGCGUAAAGGGAGCGUAGGCGGACUGUUAAGUUAGAGGUGAAAGCCCAGGGCUCAACCUUGGAAUUGCCUUUGAUACUGGCAGUCUUGAGUACGGAAGAGGUAUGUGGAACUCCGAGUGUAGAGGUGAAAUUCGUAGAUAUUCGGAAGAACACCAGUGGCGAAGGCGGCAUACUGGUCCGUUACUGACGCUGAGGCUCGAAAGCGUGGGGAGCAAACA
This 640-nucleotide ribosomal RNA is filed under the name uncultured bacterium. Its description in RNAcentral is "bacterial SSU rRNA". It matches the Rfam family "Bacterial small subunit ribosomal RNA", at positions 99 to 774 of the family's 1533-position model. The record is from RNAcentral.